AAAGGCCGCGGUAUAAUGACCGUGCGAAGGUAGCAUAAUAAUUAGUCUUUUAAUUGAAGACUGGAAUGAAGGGUCGGACAAAAAGUAAUCUGUCUCUAUUUUAAAAAUUGAAUUUNNCUUUUAAGUGAAAAGGCUUAGAUAAUCUUAGAGGACGACAAGACCCUAUAAAACUUUAUAAACUAAAGAUAAAUUCACAAUUUAUAUUUUUAACGAAGAUUAUCUUUAUUUUUAUUUCGUUGGGGCGACGAGAGUAUAAACUUAACUGCUUUCAUUUUACACAACCAUGCUUGAAUCUGAUGACCCUUUUUAAAGAUCCAAAGAAAAAGUUACUUUAGGGAUAACAGCGUAAUUUUUUUUAAGAGUCCUUAUCGACAAAAAAGUUUGCGACCUCGAUGUUGAAUUAAAAUUCCACUGUAGUGCAGCAAUUA
Molecule: ribosomal RNA, 428 nt
Filed under: Paratrypaea bouvieri
Lineage: Eukaryota; Metazoa; Arthropoda; Malacostraca; Decapoda; Callianassidae
Description: partial 16S ribosomal RNA
Rfam family: Bacterial large subunit ribosomal RNA
Source: RNAcentral